UAAUGGACACUAAUAACCACCCAAACCUAUCUAAGAUACAUAUGGGAGUUUUACAUUUUAUUUUUAUUCCUACAGAAAAGAAGAAAGAAAGACGUAUCAAAAAAGCCUGUUUCCCGUUUGCUGGAGUACUGCAAAAAACAUUAACAAAAUAAUUUCAAGGAUACAACUGCUGUGAAUUCAAAAGGCAUAAACUACUGAAAAAGAAUAACCCGAAGAUAACUUCAAGCAAACUACCCAUAAACAGAAAACCUGUUAUAUAAAUUGAGGUCUAUUUUUGUAAUAGAUCAAAAUACUGUGUUGGUCAAAAUAAAUAGGUAAGA
Long non-coding RNA from Phyllostomus discolor (pale spear-nosed bat), 320 nucleotides. RefSeq lists it as uncharacterized. The record is from RefSeq and is a predicted model, not a curated record. Lineage: Eukaryota; Metazoa; Chordata; Mammalia; Chiroptera; Phyllostomidae. The transcript is spliced from 2 exons.